This 71-nucleotide small nucleolar RNA is filed under the name Carlito syrichta (Philippine tarsier). RNAcentral describes it as "Small nucleolar RNA SNORD56 (ENSTSYG00000024221.2)". It matches the Rfam family "Small nucleolar RNA SNORD56". From Rfam's summary of the family: U56 belongs to the C/D class of snoRNA which contain the C (UGAUGA) and D (CUGA) box motifs. Most of the members of the box C/D family function in directing site-specific 2'-O-methylation of substrate RNAs. The record is from Rfam by way of RNAcentral. Lineage: Eukaryota; Metazoa; Chordata; Mammalia; Primates; Tarsiidae.
CUACAGUGUUGGUGACAUUUUUUUGUCAACAGAAGUUCACCUAAUGAGUGUGAUACUUUGGAUCCAAGUGA